CAGUCGCCGCGGUAACACAGAGGGUGCGAGCGUUAAUCGGAUUUACUGGGCGUAAAGCGUGCGUAGGCGGCUUCUUAAGUCGGAUGUGAAAUCCCUGAGCUUAACUUAGGAAUUGCAUUCGAUACUGGGAAGCUAGAGUAUGGGAGAGGAUGGUAGAAUUCCAGGUGUAGCGGUGAAAUGCGUAGAGAUCUGGAGGAAUACCGAUGGCGAAGGCAGCCAUCUGGCCUAAUACUGACGCUGAGGUACGAAAGCAUGGGGAGCAAACAGGAUUAGAUACCCCCGUAGUCCCUGUCUCUUAUAC
This 301-nucleotide ribosomal RNA is filed under the name uncultured bacterium. RNAcentral describes it as "partial 16S ribosomal RNA". It matches the Rfam family "Bacterial small subunit ribosomal RNA", at positions 509 to 807 of the family's 1533-position model. The record is from RNAcentral.